Molecule: ribosomal RNA, 447 nt
Filed under: uncultured bacterium
Lineage: Bacteria
Description: bacterial SSU rRNA
Rfam family: Bacterial small subunit ribosomal RNA
Source: RNAcentral
UGCCAGACUCCUACGGGAGGCAGCAGUCGGGAAUAUUGCGCAAUGGAGGAAACUCUGACGCAGUGACGCCGCGUAUAGGAAGAAGGUUUUCGGAUUGUAAACUAUUGUCGUUAGGGAAGAUAAAAGACAGUACCUAAGGAGGAAGCUCCGGCUAACUACGUGCCAGCAGCCGCGGUAAUACGGAGGAUGCGAGCGUUAUCCGGAUUUAUUGGGUUUAAAGGGUGCGUAGGCGGACUGUUAAGUCAGCGGUAAAAGCCCGGGGCCCAACCCGGGCGAGCCGUUGAAACUGGCUGUCUUGAGAUGUCGAGAGGUAUGCGGAAUGCGCAGUGUAGCGGUGAAAUGCUUAGAUAUUGCGCAGAACUCCGAUUGCGAAGGCAGCAUACCGGCGGCGAUCUGACGCUGAGGCACGAAAGCGUGGGUAUCGAACAGGAUUAGAUACCCUUGUAU